Molecule: long non-coding RNA, 774 nt
Filed under: Bos taurus (domestic cattle)
Lineage: Eukaryota; Metazoa; Chordata; Mammalia; Artiodactyla; Bovidae
Description: long non-coding RNA NONBTAT004936
Source: RNAcentral
CUAAAUGUGAACACACACUUCUCUGCAAAAGUAGCCCUUUGCUAAUUGAAUCUAGUCGGUAUGGAAAAAAAGCCAGUAGAAAACCUUAUCUUUAACAAGCCCCCAGAUGGUGCCCAGAUUGGGAAACUCUUAAAAAGCAGUGGUGACCUUUUACCAAAGCUUCUGUAAUAGUUCAAAUGAGUUACAGAACAUUCCACUCCAUCAAAUGACACUCUAAACAAAUCACUUCAAGAGAGGUUUGACUUCACGUGACACAGACGGACGCGGCUCUCAUGCUGCGUGCUGGAGCAGAAACCCACCCACGCCCCCCGUGUUCUGGGGGCCCGGAUGCUCACAGCUUUUUAAAGGAUAAAGGCGAUCAGUGUGGAAAGCGUUUUAUGGAGGAAACUAUUACCCUAAUAGGUACAUCAGCUAAAAACUGGAUCCCAUGAUAAAGUUCCCCCUGAAUUUUUGUAAGGAGUCCUAUAAGCAGAAGGGGACAGGAAGUGGGUCCUGAAAAUGCAGUUGCUCCAUCCAAUGGCUGAUUUUGAUAACUCAAUUCCAACAGAGACUAAAUUUCAACUCAGUGAACCAGUGCAGCAUUCCUUGUGCAAAGAAAAUAUAUACUGUAUACAUAUGCCAAGAAAAGGAAGGCGCAGAGGUCUUUUCUCUUGAAAAUGUAUGUUUAAAUGAAGUUGAUCUUAGUUAAUUGUCCAAAAUGAAUCUUCAUCAAGAUGCCAGAGUGCUGAGUCAUUGAUUACAUUCUCCAACAUGAGAUCAAGAACCUAGCUCUGU